This is a long non-coding RNA of Apis florea (little honeybee), 468 nucleotides long. Lineage: Eukaryota; Metazoa; Arthropoda; Insecta; Hymenoptera; Apidae. The record is from RefSeq and is a predicted model, not a curated record.
UAAUUUUUCGAAAAAAUUUGACGAUAUAGUCAAAUUUGUAUGUAUAUUCGAAGGGAGGGUAUAAGAGAAAUUGCGACGUCUUGUCUAAGAAGACGUCAUUACUUCCUCUCCUUAGGGAGCUCAAUAACAGUAGACCGAUAAAUCAAUCUGGUCACCUAUCUACUUGAUAUAUUGCCUGAUUUACAUUCACCAGAUUUGCAUUGAAGGUGACUAACGACGGGUACCUCAAACGUUCGCGGGGCAAAACUAACCGUGAUUCGUUUCACAAACUUUAAGAGAGCAAAGAUCAAAACUUUGAAGGAAACGAGGUAUCAUCGUCGUACUUAUGAAUUUUAAUUUUCCAAGUUGAUGUCAAGUCCGGUGAAUCAUCUCUCCCCCUCUUCUUAGAUUUUGAUCACGUGGCUUUAUUUACUUUCGAGAAAUCGAACUAUCGAAUUUCGAUUAGAAUCAAACGUGUUUAUAACGUGC